Molecule: long non-coding RNA, 3856 nt
Filed under: Coffea arabica (coffee)
Lineage: Eukaryota; Viridiplantae; Streptophyta; Magnoliopsida; Gentianales; Rubiaceae
Description: long non-coding RNA (CARA_LNC003374)
Source: RNAcentral
AAACCAAAAGAGUACUAUUCACAAUAUAUACAACCCGAAAAGAGUUCUAUUUACAUCCUCAAAAGGAGUUAUCCAAACUACCACAUUACCCUAACCAAAUUAGACAGUAGACCUGAAGGUGGGUUCUUAUACAGAUCACCAAAACAAGAAGAAACAUCUUAGUUGUCCGGCUAUUACAAACCAAACCUAACUAUUCCAGUGAUAGUGCCAAAAGUCCCCCGCGUCGGCCCCUGUUAAGGAAAACAAAGGGAAAGGGGUAAACUAUAUGCUUAAUAAGUAAACAGGGAUAAAAACGUAAACUUCAUAUUAAGAUGAACAAUUAUGUCACAAAGAUAUCAAAUCGAACAUAUAAAAGUAACAACACAAGUUAAGGAUACAGGUUAGCUCCAAAGCCACGUCAUGUGCCAUGUGUGACCUCCUGUCGACACUCCGUCGACCACUGAUAGGGGUCCGUAGAACUCCACUUGUACUCCCACCUAACACCUUAUCACCCUCACUGGCCAGUCAUCUCACGAAAUGGCUCGAGCAAACGAAACGAAAUUGAACUUGAUUCACAAACUUGGUUCAGAAACUUGGUUCACAGAAUCACAAACUUGGUGACCUUAAGACUAGGUUGGACUGGUUUCGACCAAACCCCAGCCGGCUCGAAUAGUCCGUCUAGGUCUUGAAAUCGAGCCCCACAAAAGUCACCCCGAACUACCAGCUCAAGAGGUUCAACACCAGAAUAAUUCAUAUAUACACAUCUCAUAAAGAAGCACAAGUGCAAAUUAGGGUUUAGGUCGAGUGUGAUCAAGUACACCCUCUCAUCCACACCAAAGCACAUAAACAAGUUAUACACAAAACGGCCUGAAUACUUACACAGAGAGCAAGUAUAGCAAAAGUGCGAAUAUCACGUCACGUAACAGCUAGUAGGCCCCACUGGCACCGUCUAGCCCGUCACCGUCUGAAAUAAAAGAUUACACCACAUUACUACACAAAUGACUACUAAAAUGCAUAAAUCAAGCAAAACGGCAAAACGGGCACAUGCAGGCGCGGAAACGGCAAACGAAAACGGAAACGGCUGGCAAAAGGAAACGAGCAGAUUUGGCACCUAGAACUGUUUUGAUCAAAUUUCAAACUACGGUUAUCGGAUCAAAGUUCAUGAGGUACCGUUGCGAGGCUAAGAAGAAGGGCUACAACUUUUAUGAAGACAGCUCAAGUCAGAUAUCAAUGGAACUAGAACAAAAAUGCACAAGACAGUCCUAGCCGUUUCAAUUUAGGUUACCGAGCAGGCCCUGUUUGAAUGACUAUAAAUCAUAACUCAGAGAUCGAAAUCAAGAAAUUCCAGAUGUGUUGGAAAUCUCAUUUAUAAGGCUAUAACGUUUGUGUUUUGAGCAAAAGCUGAAUCAGUACAGAGCAUAGGGAAAAAUGGGUCCAAAGUUCCUGUCAGAACUGUCCAACUUCAAAGGCAGUUCUGACACCCGAUAUUGUUUUGGGUAUCACUAGAGCUACGGAACUCGGAUUUGGACGCACUUUAUACCGUUUUGAAGUUGAGACAAAGAUAUACAAGUCUUAUGAAGACCUCAACACCCAGUUCCUUCGUUAUCAAUGUGAACUGAGCACAGGUAGAAGCAAAAUCAAAAAACGUAGCACAAUUCAGAGUUUAGAAUAGAAGCGAGGGUUUUGGCCAUAACUUAGGCUACACAGAUCUGUUUGCCCUGAAAUUUUGCAAGCACAACAACCACUUAAGAAGCUAAAACUUUCAUGUUUUGGGUAAACCCUGAAUUAGUAUGUAGCACAAAGAAAAAUGUAGCCAAAAUUCAGAUUCUGGGCUGCCUUGUUUUCCAGUUUAACCGGUUUCGCACGUCACAAACUCAUGGUCCGUUGCUAUGGUUCUCAUGUAAGUUUUCUAACCAACUUCAUACCAACCAAACACACAUAAACCACCUCCUAUUUGCCCUGCAAGAAAAUCAAAAUUCCUUUCCCAAAUUAAUCCCAAAACUUAUCAAACACUAACCCUAAUAUAGCUUCUAGCAUGAGGAACAAAAGGAAAGGCGACGAGAAAGGCAGUUUUGCCAUCCUUUGGUAUUUUGAUAAUAACUUUUUCAAAACUUAUUAACUUUAUCAUUUUUAAACCAUGAAACAUACCUAUUUUCAAGUUUAACUUGUAUACUCAUUCAAUCCAAUAUACUUUCUCAAUCCCAUAUUAAUUAUGGCUUAUAGAUACUCCACUAUUUUUUUUUUUUUUAACAAAACUUAAAGUUAUUUGUAAAUUAACUUAGUCCACAACCUUCACCUCUCACAAUUUAUAAUCUUUGAAUUACUAAGAAAGCCAAGUUUAAGCGAUUAGAAGUCAUUUCAUGAAUACGGCUAUAACAAAUUACCUUAGAGUUUCUAAAACAUCAAAUAAGUUUUAACUCAUUGCUAUACAACCUAUCUAAAUAAAUUCAGCAAUAAUACUUCAAGUUUUCAUCCAAUAACUUCAUUUUUUAAUUGAUUAAAUCUCCAACUACUUAACUUACAUUUAAUCUAAUAUGAAUUAGGAUAAGAAACAUUUAAUUGUAACCAAUGUUUUGUGCAAACUAUGCACACAAAUCAGUCUUAAUUAUUACAGCUUUUAAACAAUCCCUUAGCUAUGUAUAUAUCGGUCCAAUGUUUGCCGUUUCACUCAAGUUCCUUCUUCCAAGUUUUUUUUAUCCCAACUAGACAUGUUAACCACGUUUAUUAAACUACAAAUGAGCCUUGUACAGAACACCAAAUUUUAAUAUCAUAUAAAACACUUGAGCAGUUAAAACUUCAAAGGAAAAGCUGAUGAGAACUUGUUUCUUCCUUCAGACAUGAUGGAUUUUGGACAGCAAUCAGUUUUUAAGCAAGAAUUUCUCCAUUCAUUACUUCAUUAUAUACUCGAAUCUAACAUGCAUGCUAAGAUUAGAAUAUUAUACCAUGGAUUAAGUCUGAACGUAGGUGUUUGGAACCCAAAAAUCUAUAAGAAAACCUAGAAAUUUUCCUAGUUCUUCUCUCGGUCAGCUAAGCAGAAUUUUCACUCAAGUUAUCAACUCCACUCCAGGUUCUCAGGUAAGACAAGGUGAGAACAUAUAGUUUGAGCCUCUAGUAGAAAAUUACUCCAUGCAUUCGAUUAAUAACCGCAUGAUCAGUUUUUUUUUUCUCUCGGAUAGAGCUAAAAAGAUUUCAACGGAUAACCUCCCUAAACAGGUUCUCCCUUCAGCUGCACUCUUCUUUUCUUUCGUAAGUAAAAUCCAGCAUACCACAGUGAUUAUUCAAGUAUAAUCAAGUGUACUAGAUGAUUAGGGGGUUAUUACAAAAAGUUUAUCAAGUUUAUGGCUGCAACAACAACUCUUGGUUCCUUCAUUGCUGUCCGACAAUAUCCUCUUCAAAAUGGAACUCUACCUUAGCUAGGAACUCAUUUUCUUUGCUAAAUUCCAACAUGCAAUCCAUAUAUGCGGUUGUAUUCAGGGAAUGAAAGGGAGGUUACAAGAGUCUUACCCUUUUUUGUUACGUUUUUAAUAGUUGCAGCUUCGGUCUCUCUAAUUCUUGCAUCAGCUCUCUCUCCCUUUUUUUUUCCAGGCUUGGCUUGCGGUAUUGAGGUUACUAGCUGAAGAAGUGAAGCGAACCAGUGUCUCUCUCUCCCCCUCACUCUCUCGGGUGCAGACUGGAGGCAGUGAAAAACCAGAAAUGUUUCUCACUCGGUGGUGUUUUGGAAUGAGUGGUUAUGACCGAAACUCUCUCUCUCGGCUUGGUUGGUAAGAAGAGCAUUUGAACAUAUUUCCUUCACUCCACCGACCACUCAAGCUUCUUCAUUCGGUGCUGAUCAAUCCAAUGUUCACCUCAUUCGGUCACUGCAUACUCAGCAGAUUCC